AACGAACGCUGGCGGCGUGCCUAACACAUGCAAGUCGAGCGGGAAAGUUCCCUUCGGGGAGCGAGUACAGCGGCGAACGGGUGAGUAACACGUAGGCAACCUACCCCGGAGACCGGGAUAACCUGUCGAAAGGCGGGCUAAUACCGGAUAAGACCACGAGGGCCUCGGCCCUUGAGGUAAAAGGUGGCCGUCUGCUUGCAAGCUAUCACUCCAGGAUGGGCCUGCGCGCCAUUAGCUAGUUGGUGAGGUAACGGCUCACCAAGCGAGAUGGCUAGCUGGUCUGAGAGGAUGGCCAG
Molecule: ribosomal RNA, 296 nt
Filed under: uncultured bacterium
Lineage: Bacteria
Description: partial 16S ribosomal RNA
Rfam family: Bacterial small subunit ribosomal RNA
Source: RNAcentral